Long non-coding RNA from Malaya genurostris, 677 nucleotides. RefSeq lists it as uncharacterized. Lineage: Eukaryota; Metazoa; Arthropoda; Insecta; Diptera; Culicidae. The transcript is spliced from 3 exons. The record is from RefSeq and is a predicted model, not a curated record.
CGAAUGGUGUAACGUCAUUAUCUCGAUUCAAAGGAAAGCUCUCUGGUAGAUUGUAUGGGAUGCCGUCCUGUUUGUUGAUAACCCUAUCCGUCACCUUCGGUGUAGAAUGUUUACGUUCUUUCUGAAGCUCAGACGAAUCAGCAACAUCCGACUCACAUGCUUCGCAAUCCGGACAACUCCAGGAAAUGUUUCGUACGUCGUCAUUAACACCUGCACAACCGAAAUGAUACCAUCUUUGACAGUGAUCGCAAAAUACCAUAUUCGUUUCAUCGUUAUCGGGACGAUGGCAAGCCGCGCAAUUGUAGCCAGACUGUUCGGGAUUCUCGGGGUUACUAGUUCGAAUGCUUACGAAAUCUCUCCUUAUAUAAAUUUCAAAUUUCCUUCUUUCAAUUCACACGCCCUUUUAACCGACUAUAAAAAUAUUUCUAAGUAGCUUUAUCUAUCACCUUUCUUGCACUAUUUAGACUAUGCUUUUCCUGUUUUCUGACUUAUGCUAUACUUUUUUUCUUCUCCCUCUUUCGCAUAACAACUUUACAUAUAUCUUUACCUGUCACCCGUCGGUAUAACGGUAUCUCCUUUCAAAUGUAUGUUGUCCUUACUCCGGCGGUACUCACUGAUUGCUGUUUUUGGAUGGUGCGUCUACAAUCAAUUUGGAAUUUCGCUUCUGCACGCAUUCU